This 1488-nucleotide ribosomal RNA is filed under the name uncultured bacterium. RNAcentral's name for it is "bacterial SSU rRNA". It matches the Rfam family "Bacterial small subunit ribosomal RNA". The record is from RNAcentral.
AGAGUUUGAUCCUGGCUCAGAAUGAACGUUGGCGGCGUGGAUUAGGCAUGCAAGUCGAGCGAGUCUACCUAGUAGCAAUAUUGGGUAAGUCGAGCGGCGUAAGGGGCAGUAAUACCUGGGAACGUACCCUGAGGUCGGGGAUAGCUGCUGGAAACGGCGAGUAAUACCCGAUGAUCUUGGAAAAGCAAAGGCUUGCCGCCUUAGGAGCGGCCCAGGCGAUAUUAGCUAGUUGGUGGGGUAAUGGCCUACCAAGGCAUAGAUGUCUAGCGGGUGUGAGAGCACGACCCGCGCCACUGGCACUGAGACACUGGCCAGACACCUACGGGUGGCUGCAGUCGAGAAUCUUCGGCAAUGAGCGCAAGCUUGACCGAGCGACGCCGCGUGCGGGAUGAAGGCCUUCGGGUUGUAAACCGCUUUGGUCCGAAAGAAAGGGUAAAACUUGAUCGAUCGGAGAAACAAGGACGGGCUAAGUUCGUGCCAGCAGCCGCGGUAAGACGAACCGUCCAAACGUUAUUCGGAAUCACUGGGCUUAAAGGGCGCGUAGGCGGCCGAGCGGGUCGUGGGUGAAAUCCCCCAGCUUAACUGGGGAACUGCUUACGAUACCACUGCGGCUCGAGGAAGGAAGGGGCAAUUGGAACUGUCGGUGGAGCGGUGAAAUGCGUUGAUAUCGACAGGAACGCCUGUGGCGAAAGCGAAUUGCUGGUCCUUUUCUGACGCUGAGGCGCGAAAGCCAGGGGAGCAAACGGGAUUAGAUACCCCGGUAGUCCUGGCCUUAAACGAUGAGAACUAGGUAGUGGGUCCGACCUGGGCACACUGCCGAAGCGAAAGUCUUAAGUUCUCCGCCUGGGGAGUAUGGUCGCAAGGCUGAAACUCAAAGGAAUUGACGGGGGCUCACACAAGCGGUGGAGCAUGUGGCUUAAUUCGAGGCUACGCGAAGAACCUUACCCAGGCUUGACAUGUGCGAAAGCGCCAAGUGUACCUGGCUGAAAGGUCAGGGAACCUCGCAAGAGGGGACUUGGUACAGGUGCUGCAUGGCUGUCGUCAGCUCGUGUCGUGAGAUGUCGGGUUAAGUCCCGCAACGAGCGCAACCCCUAUCGUCAGUUGCCAACAUUAAGAUGGGAACUCUGGCGAGACUGCCGGUCUAAACCGGAGGAAGGUGGGGACGACGUCAAGUCCUCAUGGCCCUUAUGCCCAGGGCUACACACGUGCUACAAUGGCUGGUACAACGAGCCGCAAAGCCGCGAGGCCAAGCUAAUCUCAAAAAACCAGUCUCAGUUCGGAUUGGAGUCUGCAACUCGACUCCAUGAAGCUGGAAUCGCUAGUAAUCGGAGAUCAGCACGCUCCGGUGAAUACGUUCCCGGGCCUUGUACACACCGCCCGUCACACCAUGGGAGUCGGUCGCUCCAGAAGUAGGAACCUCAACCGCAAGGAAAGGCCCUACCAAGGAGUGGUCGGUGACUGGGGUGAAGUCGUAACAAGGUAGCCGUA